AGGUAGUACUCAUUUUUUUGUACGCAGUGGAUUCAUAUUUUUGUCCUCUUUUAACAGACGGACAUACAUAUAGUAUAUGUAUUAUCUUCAAUUUCUUUUGAUAUUAUUUAAUUACGCAGUAAAAUUUGACUAAAUAACUAGCUUCAUCACCAACUUGAUUUCAUUAUCAAAGUUAAUGUGGUUACGAUCAGUGGUUACUAAUAAAAGUUAAAUUAAUAAAAAUUAAAAUACAUGUGCUAUUUAUAUAACCAUUAGUGAAUGGAAAAAUUUAUAAAUUUUAGAAUUCUCCAGAUUCUAGUAAAUUAUAAUUAUAGACAAAGGAAGAAUAAAAUCAUUUUCUACAAGUAAAAUCUGACCAAGUUUAUAUCCGAAUAUAUGGUUACUAAACGCACCGAGCGUAAAAUUCAAGAGGUUUUAGAACUUAAAUCAUCAGAUUCGGAAAAUUAAACUCCACAAUUAAAGUCCAUACGUGGCCACGAGGCCCGCCACAUGUGACUAGAGUCACCUUAAAUACAUCACCAAUUUUUCCACAUAUAGAAGUCCAUUUUGGCCACGAGGUCACUACAUUUGACGUUAAGACACAAUUUCCAAAAUUAGGGACUGCCCACAAGUUAAAGUCUACACGUGUCCUUCAUCUAAUUGCUUUUUCACAACACACGUGAUCGAGAAGUUCAUCACAUCUGACCAAAGUCACCUAAACACGACCCGGAGUGAGAAUUAAAUUCCCACGUGGCCGUGAAGGUCUUCACACCUAGUCACGCCAAAUUAUUUAUUUAAAUGUGCCUUAAUUAUUCAUUAAAAACUAUUUAAAAAUUAUUAAAAUCUAAUCUAAUAAAAAAAUUCGCUAAAUAUUACCUAAA
This is a long non-coding RNA of Lucilia cuprina (Australian sheep blowfly), 860 nucleotides long. RefSeq lists it as uncharacterized. The transcript has 2 exons. The record is from RefSeq and is a predicted model, not a curated record. Lineage: Eukaryota; Metazoa; Arthropoda; Insecta; Diptera; Calliphoridae.